AUACCAAACUCCACUCCUAAACAUCCCACCAUCAUACCAAGCUCCACAGCCAAAUAUCUUUCCCCAAUACCCAAUUCCACCUCCAAAUUAUCAGUCUCAUUUCCAAACUACUCCCUCAAAUAGCCAAACAAAUUUUCAAACACCUCCAAAUUACCACCAAGUACCCCUUCCUACAAACCUAAGCCCGUAUAACCCCCAGCGUCC
This 204-nucleotide long non-coding RNA is filed under the name Capsicum annuum. RNAcentral describes it as "long non-coding RNA (CANN_LNC002067)". The record is from RNAcentral. Lineage: Eukaryota; Viridiplantae; Streptophyta; Magnoliopsida; Solanales; Solanaceae.